Molecule: ribosomal RNA, 301 nt
Filed under: uncultured bacterium
Lineage: Bacteria
Description: partial 16S ribosomal RNA
Rfam family: Bacterial small subunit ribosomal RNA
Source: RNAcentral
CAGCAGCCGCGGUAAUACGAGGGGGGCAAGCGUUGUUCGGAAUUAUUGGGCGUAAAGGGCGCGUAGGCGGUUUGACAAGUCUGAUGUGAAAUCCCCGGGCUCAACCUGGGAAUGGCAGUGGAUACUGGCUCGCUAGAGUGUGUCAGAGGAUGGUGGAAUUCCCGGUGUAGCGGUGAAAUGCGUAGAGAUCGGGAGGAACAUCAGUGGCGAAGGCGGCCAUCUGGGACAACACUGACGCUGAGGCACGAAAGCGUGGGGAGCAAACAGGAUUAGAUACCCCCGUAGUCCCUGUCUCUUAUAC